UAUUUAAACAAGGCUCUUGAUACGUUCAACACAGCUGUUGUAUCGCCUAUAUACUAUGUGAUGUUUACAUCCUUGACCAUUUUGGCCAGUGUAAUCAUGUUUAAGGAUUGGGAUCGACAGAAUCCAACUCAAAUUGUUACUGAAAUGUGUGGAUUUGUGACUAUCCUUUCUGGAACUUUUCUUCUUCAUAAGACAAAGGACAUGGUUGAGGGUUUAUCACCAUCUCAAUCAUUGCGUCUUCCCAAGCACACAGAAGAUGAUGUGUUUGAAACUGAAGGGAUGCCUCUUCGACGUCUAGAAUCCCUGCGACAGGCAUAGCUGUAUCCAGUGAUUCAUCGGUAUACUUUCAUUCAAGAUCUUGCAUGUAUUUUGGGGGAUUGCGGGACUCACACCAUUGGCCUGUAUAUUACCAACACGUUUAACUGGUCCUUGCGUUGUUUGAGAGGAUAAUGAGCAAAGUCGGCUGGAAUUCUUCUCAGAUAGAAAAUGAAAUGAGCAUUUUCAGCUGCUUCCUUGUAUACAGGUUUAACUCCGCUAAGGACCCCACCCUGGGGAAUUGUAAUUUGGAGCACAUGGUUUUAACAUGAUAUAUCUUAGUUUCAUAUUAACAAAGAAAUGCAGAUAUUUUCCCCCUGGAUACCAAGGCAUUGUAGAAGAGAGGGGUUGUGUGUUAUAAUGCUUUUCAGGUAAAAC
RNAcentral lists this unclassified non-coding RNA (693 nucleotides) under Hevea brasiliensis (rubber tree). Lineage: Eukaryota; Viridiplantae; Streptophyta; Magnoliopsida; Malpighiales; Euphorbiaceae. The record is from RNAcentral.